CCUGGCGGCUGUAGCGCGGUGGUCCCACCUGACCCCAUGCCGAACUCAGAAGUGAAACGCCGUAGCGCCGAUGGUAGUGUGGGGCCUCCCCAUGCGAGAGUAGGGAACUGCCA
RNAcentral lists this ribosomal RNA (113 nucleotides) under Cronobacter sakazakii. The record is from RNAcentral. Lineage: Bacteria; Pseudomonadati; Pseudomonadota; Gammaproteobacteria; Enterobacterales; Enterobacteriaceae. RNAcentral also lists the same sequence under 1 other name.